This is a long non-coding RNA of Ooceraea biroi (clonal raider ant), 593 nucleotides long. RefSeq lists it as uncharacterized. NCBI's taxonomy places the organism in Eukaryota, Metazoa, Arthropoda, Insecta, Hymenoptera, Formicidae. The record is from RefSeq and is a predicted model, not a curated record.
ACAUGAAUAUACAUACAUAUUUCAAGUGUUCCCUCUUUUACCGCCAUCGGCCGCCAUUGGCGCCUUCACGUUCUUUACGGUUCUUUCUUCCCGUCGUGCCAAGAGAGUACCAGCCACGUGUUGUAUGUGUAAAAGUGCUAUCUUUAGCCAAGCAGUCUGUAAGAGGCAUUUAGAGUGUGCAGAUAUAUCUGCGAAUAUAUUGCGCAGAGGAUAGCGCAUACAGUACGUUGGACGUUUGCGCAGAGGGUAGCGCACAGAAUACAGUACGGAGAUUUGGACCCCAGAGAACAAUAUGACGUCUUAAAGACGUCUUUUAGACGUCUUAUGUCCCGAUUUAAGACGUUUUUUAGCCAUGUCUUAUGGACGUCUUUCUGACAGUCUUAUGGACGUCUUGUGGACGGCUUAUGGACGGCAUAUGGACAGCUUAUGGAUGUCUUAUGGACGGCUUAUGGAUGUCUUAUAGAAAAAAAUGAUUUUUUUAUGUUAUUUAUCAUUUAUUAUAAGAAAAAUAUACAUUUAAUGUAAUAUACAAUGCUUAUUAUUAUUAUUCCACUAUUGUAUAUCUUGUUAUAAAGAAAUGGCGUCAUGUUGGA